This 75-nucleotide transfer RNA is filed under the name Gammaproteobacteria bacterium. Its description in RNAcentral is "tRNA-Glu". It matches the Rfam family "tRNA". Rfam says of the family: Transfer RNA (tRNA) molecules are approximately 80 nucleotides in length. Their secondary structure includes four short double-helical elements and three loops (D, anti-codon, and T loops). RNAcentral also lists the same sequence under 5 other names. The record is from RNAcentral. Lineage: Bacteria; Pseudomonadati; Pseudomonadota; Gammaproteobacteria.
GCUCCCUUCGUCUAGCGGUCAGGACACUGGCCUCUCACGCCGGUAACAGGGGUUCGAUUCCCCUAGGGAGCACCA